Molecule: long non-coding RNA, 853 nt
Organism: Hyla sarda
Lineage: Eukaryota; Metazoa; Chordata; Amphibia; Anura; Hylidae
Exons: 3
Source: RefSeq, a predicted model, not a curated record
UGCCCCUCUAGUGCCCUCACAAAAGGAGCUACAGACUCAGGGUGACAGGUGAAGUAAAAAGGAUCCAUUGCUGGGGAGAUUUGUAUGUGGUUUAAUGGAGGGUGCUGUGCCCUCCCUGCAGGAAGGGGGCGCCACUCACCCUGUCAUUAUCUGCCAUUUCUCUGCUUCUCUCCACACGGAGGAGACAGGAGCAUCGGAGGCAGAGAGAAGCCCCGCCCACAGCAUGUCCGGACACAAACUCCAGCCUGUGCAGAGGGGGAUGGAGCCCUUACUUACUCAUGUAAGCAUAUAUUAGUGUGGUGUCCAUCUCUUCAGUGUAAGAACCAGAGCUGUGUGGAGAUUCCUGCAUAAGGGUGAACCGGUGGCAAUUCCGAACAAUACUGAAAUCCUACAGGAAUGUAUAAGAGAACUGACAGAACCUUCCCUCUAGUCUUUAAACAUAGGAUAAAAGGAGGGCAACUGAAACUGCAAAGAAUUCUAAAGUACAGAGGGAAACAAUGCACUGAAUUGGUUUCUAUGUGAAUAACUCAUCAAUCAUGGAGACUUUUCCAUACUGAAUAAAGUGUGAGUCCAUGACCUGAAUCUUAAUGAGGAGAUUAAAAAAUGUAUUGUGUAUAUGAAUCAACAAUGUGUGCUAAUGGUAACAUGUAUUAAUAUUCCCACACCACCAUUUUAUGCUAUUAAAUACCGAAAAACUGCAAAGUUAUUUUUGCCCUCACUCUGUAAUAGGGAUUUAUCACCAACGUAUCAAAUAAAAUACAUUUGCAUCCAUUUUCUAUAACAAUAUUGCAACAAACCAAACACAUGCAUGUGCUCUAAAACAAAUGUUUGUUUUUGUUAACUCUGGGGAAUG